CUUGUUAGCUGUUCUAUCCAUUUUGCAUUCUUACAUUUGCCUCAUUGUAUUUGAUCUUUGGUUUAUUUUCCAUCUUCUCUUCUUCCUAUAUUAAACUCCAGCGUUCAGGACUGCGAUUGUGUUGAAUUCUGCUGGGAAAUGAUGAUGGGAGAACUAGCAAACAGAUCAGAGCUGCGGAAGGAAUUAGAGAGAGAACGCCGUCGUAUAAGGGACAGGCAAAGAAGACAAUCUAUGAGCCUUGAAGAAAAGAAACGCAUCUAGCUAGACGCCGAAGAAAUUAUGAAUUGAGGAGGCAAAGGGCUGAAACUGCUCGAUCAAACCCUUCUCCAUUGCCAAUUCAAUUGCCUUUAAGUAAUGCCUUAACUUGUGUUUCUAAUGCCAGUCCUCAGUUUAAUGUUGCUGAUGCUUUUGUAAGAUCCAAUGAUGAACAGCAAAGACCAGUGCUUGAUAACAAAAGCUCCCACCGUUUGGAAAUCCCUGCUCAUAAGUUAGCUAUUUUUACCUGCAAAGGUACGAUUGAAUCGCAUACAUAAAGCAUCUGGCUCGAGUGAUAAACAAUCCUGUUGGUAGUGUGGUUGCAGUUGGUGGGAUGAUGAAGGAAAAUGGAACUUCCAAUUGUUUAACAUCCAAAGGAUUGUGAUUGAAUCGUAUUAAUCAUCUUGCUCGAACAAUAAGUCCUGCUGGGCAAUAGAGUCUUAGUCAAAGCCAUCAAAGCAUAACAAAAGCUAAGAAUACACAUUUACUUAUAUAUAAUGCACCAUGACACAC
Hibiscus syriacus is the source of this 768-nucleotide long non-coding RNA. RefSeq lists it as uncharacterized. NCBI's taxonomy places the organism in Eukaryota, Viridiplantae, Streptophyta, Magnoliopsida, Malvales, Malvaceae. The record is from RefSeq and is a predicted model, not a curated record. The transcript is spliced from 4 exons.